Molecule: unclassified non-coding RNA, 152 nt
Filed under: uncultured Ascomycota
Lineage: Eukaryota; Fungi; Ascomycota
Description: sequence contains ITS1
Source: RNAcentral
CAUGAUUUAACAGGGAGUGGAGGCUUCGGCCAAAGCUCUGUCUGAACCCAUGUCUUUUGCGUACUACUGUUUCCUCGGUGGGCUUGCCUGCCGAUAGGACAACCUUAAACUCUUUGCAAUUGCAAUCAGCGUCUGAAAAACUAUAAUAGUUA